RNAcentral lists this ribosomal RNA (427 nucleotides) under uncultured Veillonellaceae bacterium. RNAcentral's name for it is "partial 16S ribosomal RNA". It matches the Rfam family "Bacterial small subunit ribosomal RNA", at positions 355 to 774 of the family's 1533-position model. The record is from RNAcentral. Lineage: Bacteria; Bacillati; Bacillota; Negativicutes; Veillonellales; Veillonellaceae.
UGGGGAAUCUUCCGCAAUGGACGAAAGUCUGACGGAGCAACGCCGCGUGAGUGAAGAAGGUUUUCGGAUUGUAAAGCUCUGUCUUUUGGGAAGAAUGUGCGCCAGUUUAAGAGAUGGGCGCAAUGACGGUACCAAAGGAGGAAGCCACGGCUAACUACGUGCCAGCAGCCGCGGUAAUACGUAGGUGGCAAGCGUUGUCCGGAAUUAUUGGGCGUAAAGGGCGUGUAGGUGGGUUAUUAAGUCUUAAGUCUAAACACAGUGCUCAACAUUGUGGCGCUUAGGAAACUGAUAAUCUUGAGUAAAGGAGAGGAAAGCGGAAUUCCCAGUGUAGCGGUGAAAUGCGUAGAGAUUGGGAAGAACACCAGUGGCGAAGGCGGCUUUCUGGACUUAAACUGACACUGAGGCGCGAAAGCUAGGGUAGCGAACG